UGAUGGCAGUGAUGAUAAUUGUGAUGAUGCAUACCUGAUACACAAACUGAGGGCUGCACAGUCACUACCUCUUCUGAGGCCAUCU
This is a small nucleolar RNA of Sceloporus undulatus (fence lizard), 85 nucleotides long. RefSeq annotates it as small nucleolar RNA SNORD11B. The record is from RefSeq and is a predicted model, not a curated record. NCBI's taxonomy places the organism in Eukaryota, Metazoa, Chordata, Lepidosauria, Squamata, Phrynosomatidae. The transcript has a single exon.